CGUCGCCUCCCUCCCUUCCUGCUUCUCUCGUCCCUCCCCCAUCAUCCCCGGCCGCUCUCUCCCCCUCUCUCGGCCCAAGCCUGGGGGAGCCAGUGGAGAUUAAAUGUAGCCUCCAUAAGCCAAGCACAUCAUGUAGCUAUGUUUCUAGGGCCAGCUUGCUCUCUCUCUCCCUCUCUCUCUCUCUCUCUCUCAUUCUCUUUUUAAAGUCUUGUUAAUUAUGCCAGGAAUGCUGGUAACAAUGCCAGAGAAAAGACAGUGUGGCUAGGAAAUCCAUGCAAGGAAGAAAAAGAGGAUGGCACGAAAUAGAGCAACUUGACAAGACACUGGGGCUUGAAAUAAAAAAGAGAGAGGGGGAGGAAAUCAAAAAAGGUGGAAAAGCGCAAGACGGACGACUUUCUCAUUCCCCUCCUCCUCCUCUCCCCUCAUCUCUUUCUCUCUCUGGCUCUGGGGUUGAUACGGCAGAGAGGUGGGCCUCCGACUUUAACUAAUCACAGCUGUGUGAGCAAAUUAAUGGAUGAUACUUGUUCUUUUACUCCUUCUCUUUCUCUUUUUCUCUCUGUCUCUCUGUAACUUUUUUUUUUUAUCUUUUUUUUCUUCUGCCACUGAACAUGGAUUUAUAAAGACAGAGAAAGACCAGGGGGUAUCAUGCUUUUUCCUCCAACACCCCCCUCUUCAAUUUUGCUUGGUGAGAGAUCGAAUGAGAGGAAAAGUGUGUGUGCGGCGGGAAAGGGAGAGCGAGAAAAAGAGAGAGAGAGAGAGAGAGAGCGCGAGAGCGUGAGGGAGGGAGAAAUGUAAGACAGAUACGGAGAGUGAAAGAGAAGAAGGGGGUGUGGAGAGCAGAGAGAGGCAGCACAAUGCGCUGAUGCCUCUUUCCAGUCGAAUGUUUUUCACCACUUUUUCUUGUCAAGGGGAUUUUGCGUUUUUGCUCGGCGCAGCUGCUGGUUAUCUCCCUUUCUCUUUAUUCCUUGUUUUUUCCGCUGGAGCCAGAGCUGAACCAGGGAUAUACGCAUGAAUGGAGCGUCCAUAGCUAACCAGCGCUGGAUGAGCAAGCAGGUUUGUGGGCGAAGGGCGCUCGGCUGUAUCCUCGCCGCUAACGCAACCCGGGGGUCCUGCCCAGCGCUGGAAUGCACAGAUAGGUCAGCUCUCUCGUCCUCUCCCCUCAGCUUGGCCUCCACACACACGUGCUCCGGACGCAGCACAGUGCUUCAUUGAGAGCGCUCAGGUCCAUGUUGCUUUAUGAGAAGACAGGGUGGAAAUCCCCUCUGAGUGCAGUUCUUUGGCUCAUCUCACUGGCUUUUUGCUCGUUGCUUCCACACGCUUCGUGACUGGGCUGCAUGCUGUUUGCUAACAUUACAUUAGCGAGGUGCUAAUUAAAUACCUCACGGAUGGAGGGUACUUGUGAGGAAGUGAACCCAGUAGCUACAUUUGAGUCUGUUCCAGUGUUUGCAUUGGUAACAUUCAGAGUGAUUGCAGAUACUGAAUCAUUUAUUUUUGGUACAGUAACAUCUAAGUUGCUGUUACAGUUUUCCUAUAAUCUCCCAGGAAUGGAAUCGUCCUUCUGUUAAGAUGCGUGUAUUAAAAUCUCGUGUUAAAUGGCCAAAUGCCAGAUUGUGCUGUACUUUAAUUGUAAAGUUGGCUCCAGUUAUUGAAGUAUGUUAUUGAAGUAAACAUUACUUCAUGUUACAGUUACAUACUGUAAGCCGCUGUUACAUUCUGAAAAGGUGUUGAAGGCUUUUUGCAUGGUGGGAUGACUGUUCUCUGUUCCUCACCUGUUGUACAUGCUUCUUUAAAAAAAAACAUUUUUUUUAAAAUCUGGCUCUACCAGCUCCAAAAAUGAUUCUGCUUUUGUUACAAGUCAGAACAUUUUGGUACUAAAUAUAACCCUUUUUCGUGAAUUCCUGUCGCUACAGCCUGUGGUGUUAAUUUGGCAUUCGGUUAAAUGAAUUGUGAAUUUGACAGCCUCGUCGUUUCCUGGGUAAUUCUGUUAUUGUGGAGAAAUACCAAGUCUGGCUCUCAGGCCGUGCCUCUUUCUCAGACAUGGCCUCAGUGGGUUUGCUUUAGCCUGAUUAAUUUGUCAUUAAUAUGCAGCCUGUCAGUGUUGGCUGUGGCCGUUUUCUCUCUGAAGUGCGGGACUCUGUAGCUAUAGUGAUGCUGUAGUCCCUCCAACGCAAGUCUCUGAGAUUUGCAUGACAGUGGCUGACGAUUGUUUCUCAGUGCCUUGCCAGGAGCAGUUAGUAGCCAAGUCUCUAGCUAGUGAGAAAAGGGUGUUGGCAGCUCUGUCUCUCACUCUGUCGCCCGUGUGUGUGUGUGUGUGUGUGUGU
Pygocentrus nattereri (red-bellied piranha) is the source of this 2321-nucleotide long non-coding RNA. RefSeq lists it as uncharacterized. NCBI's taxonomy places the organism in Eukaryota, Metazoa, Chordata, Actinopteri, Characiformes, Serrasalmidae. The record is from RefSeq and is a predicted model, not a curated record. The transcript is spliced from 3 exons.